Herpailurus yagouaroundi (jaguarundi) is the source of this 327-nucleotide long non-coding RNA. RefSeq lists it as uncharacterized. The transcript has 3 exons. Lineage: Eukaryota; Metazoa; Chordata; Mammalia; Carnivora; Felidae. The record is from RefSeq and is a predicted model, not a curated record.
UGGAGGUUUGUUUAGAGUCCAAAGAUUACACAGCCUAAGAUUGAAUAGGAGACUAUUACCAUGUGAGAGAUGCUGACUUUUAUCUAUGCUCCGCUGUCAAAAUCAGAAUCCAAGAUUAGGUGAUGGUUAGAGGUUGCCAUGACAGAAUUUCCAGUGUCGAGGGUGGUGAGCAAACUGGAGAUCCUUCUCGCUGCAGAUGAAGAAGGACGCCAAAAGCGUUCAGGAUCACUCCACUUGCCUUUCCUCGGGUCCUCUUCCUCGGAAUUGGUCUUCAACCAACGUGCACAUUUUCUCAUACCACAAGCGUUACAUCAUUCAGAACGGUUU